RNAcentral lists this unclassified non-coding RNA (223 nucleotides) under uncultured Amanita. Its description in RNAcentral is "sequence contains ITS2". Lineage: Eukaryota; Fungi; Basidiomycota; Agaricomycetes; Agaricales; Amanitaceae. The record is from RNAcentral.
AAUUCUGUCAAAACAUGCACUUGAGUGUGUUUUGGAUUGUGGGAGUGUCUGCUGGCUUUAUAUGAGUCAGCUCUCCUGAAAGACAUUAGCUUUGGAGGGAUGUGCCAAGUCACUUCUGCCUUUCCAUUGGUGUGAUAGAUGAAUAAACUUAUCUACGCCAGGAAAGCAGGUUGCAGGUGAUGCACUGUGAUCUCUCUGCUCUCUAAUUGACAUUUGUCUGAUA